GGAAUUUUGGACAAUGGGGGCAACCCUGAUCCAGCAAUGCCGCGUGAGUGAAGAAGGCCUUCGGGUUGUAAAGCUCUUUUGUCAGGGAAGAAACAGCAGCUCUUAACACAGUCUGCGAAUGACGGUACCUGAAGAAUAAGCACCGGCUAACUACGUGCCAGCAGCCGCGGUAAUACGUAGGGUGCGAGCGUUAAUCGGAAUUACUGGGCGUAAAGCGUGCGCAGGCGGUUAUACAAGACAGGCGUGAAAUCCCCGGGCUUAACCUGGGAAUGGCGUCUGUGACUGUAUAGCUAGAGUGUGUCAGAGGGGGGUGGAAUUCCACGUGUAGCAGUGAAAUGCGUAGAUAUGUGGAGGAACACCAAUGGCGAAGGCAGCCCCCUGGGAUAACACUGACGCUCAUGCACGAAAGCGUGGGGAGCAAACAGGAUUAGAUACCCUGGUAGUCCACGCCCUAAACGAUGCUGACUAGUUGUUGGGAAUUUACAUUCUCAGUAACGUAGCUAACGCGUGAAGUCAGCCGCCUGGGGAGUACGGUCGCAAGAUCAAAACUCAAAUGAAUUGACGG
Molecule: ribosomal RNA, 565 nt
Filed under: uncultured bacterium
Lineage: Bacteria
Description: bacterial SSU rRNA
Rfam family: Bacterial small subunit ribosomal RNA
Source: RNAcentral